GAAAUGCGAUAAUUAAUGUGAAUUGCAGAAUUCAGUGAAUCAUCGAGUCUUUGAACGCACAUUGCGCCCCCUGGUAUUCCGGGGGGCAUGCCUGUCCGAGCGUCAUUGCUGCCCUCAAGCACGGCUUGUGUGUUGGGCUUCCGUCCCUGGCAACGGGGACGGGCCCAAAAGGCAGUGGCGGCACCAUGUCUGGUCUUCGAGCGUAUGGGGCUUUGUCACCCGCUCCCGUAGGUCCAGCUGGCAGCUAGCCUCGCAACCAAUCUUUUUAACCAGGUUGACCUCGGAUCAGGUAGGGAUACCCGCUGAACUUAAGC
RNAcentral lists this unclassified non-coding RNA (314 nucleotides) under plant metagenome. RNAcentral's name for it is "partial contains 5.8S ribosomal RNA, internal transcribed spacer 2, and large subunit ribosomal RNA". The stretch from base 1 to 105 matches the Rfam family "5.8S ribosomal RNA", at positions 50 to 154 of the family's 154-position model. The record is from RNAcentral.